Molecule: transfer RNA, 55 nt
Filed under: Debaryomyces hansenii
Lineage: Eukaryota; Fungi; Ascomycota; Pichiomycetes; Serinales; Debaryomycetaceae
Source: RNAcentral
AUAGAAAUAUUUCCGUCUAUAAAAAUCAGAAACUAUAUACAGGUCCAAGAUUAUA